This 254-nucleotide ribosomal RNA is filed under the name uncultured bacterium. RNAcentral's name for it is "partial 16S ribosomal RNA". It matches the Rfam family "Bacterial small subunit ribosomal RNA", at positions 524 to 776 of the family's 1533-position model. The record is from RNAcentral.
UACGGGGGGAGCAAGCGUUGUUCGGAUUUACUGGGCGUAAAGGGCGCGUAGGCGGUCAGUGCAAGUCAGUUGUGAAAUCUCCGGGCUUAACUCGGAAAGGUCAACUGAUACUGCUCGACUAGAGUGCGGAAGGGGCAACUGGAAUUCUUGGUGUAGCGGUGAAAUGCGUAGAUAUCAGGAGGAACACCAAUUGCGAAGGCGGUUCUCUGGGACGGUACUGACGCUGAGACGCGAAAGCGUGGGGAGCGAACAGG